UCAAAGAUAUAGUUUUAUCUUGAUUUUUUCAGGAUUUUAUUUUGUUGUGCAAUUUUUUGACAGCAAAAUUUCCCCUUUUAGUAAACUAUGUGAUACCUUCUGUCCCCAUACGUGACACACCUUUCUUAGACUCUCUUUCAGAAGCCCCUAAAUUAGAAUGCCAAGGGUGCACUCUCACACUGGAUGCAUGUGCCGAAGCAUAAAGUGAAGUCUUGGAAAUUACAUCACAUUUUCAAAGAAGAAAACAAAAAUAUCAUAUUUUAAAAGAUCUGAAACUGGAGUUAUAUUAUUAAACUAUUAUAUAUGUUUUGAGGAGGACAAGGAACAAGAUAAUACGUGCAUAAAUUUGGAAUUAAACAAGCCAGCCUUUUACUAUGAAGAAGUGCUUCGUUCGGAAGGGAAUUUUGCAUGAAAGCAACUUUAGCUGGACAGCUUGGAGUCUUUCUGUGCAGGACUGAGGGGCUGAACCAUCCUAUAACCUGGCUGUGGCUGGCCUUCUGGGGGACUCCGGUACGCCUUCAUCUCCUGCACUUCAACUUUGCAAACCCACCUUGUCUGUCACUCUUAGGCAGGGUUCUGAGCUUUGCUGCACAUUUUUGAUGCACAGUUAAUAAAACAUAUUCUGAUCUAACUA
Long non-coding RNA from Chinchilla lanigera (long-tailed chinchilla), 634 nucleotides. RefSeq lists it as uncharacterized. NCBI's taxonomy places the organism in Eukaryota, Metazoa, Chordata, Mammalia, Rodentia, Chinchillidae. The record is from RefSeq and is a predicted model, not a curated record. The transcript has 3 exons.